Corapipo altera (White-ruffed manakin) is the source of this 516-nucleotide long non-coding RNA. RefSeq lists it as uncharacterized. The record is from RefSeq and is a predicted model, not a curated record. Lineage: Eukaryota; Metazoa; Chordata; Aves; Passeriformes; Pipridae. The transcript has 2 exons.
GACGGCAGGCUACAACGCUGGGGAGACGGGAGCCGUCCCUAUUCUACCUAAGGCAGCUUUUAGCGGGGUAAACAACCGGGGCAGCCUCACUCCCCGACAGUGGCCACGCGGAUGUACCGCAGGGUCUCACCCUACCACAUCCCCGCCGCUGCGGCCGGGAGGGGCUCAGACCCCGGGGGGGACAGGCGGGAGAACCGGCGGAAGCCGAGGCCGCAGGGAUCCCACCCCAGAUUCUGAUGAAAUGUUUGUGUCCUCUAGACUGUUUAAAAUUCUGGGAGGAAUGUUCCAAAAAAGCUUUUCUGAUUUUGAGAGCUCCACAGAGAAAGAAUCACACAGGUACCUGAUUGCUUCCUUGGAUCAAUGUCUCAGCUCUUUAGAGGAUGCUCUAGUUCACGGAUAGCUGUGCAGACCUCCUGAAAGAGGUGGAUCUCAAAGAGCUGUGAUUCAUGCCAGAAUCAGACUUCACAUGCUGAAAAUGGAAAAGAGAAAUUAAAAGCCAAAUUUUUUUAAGUCUUC